UAGUCUUCCCAGUGCCAGGAAGGAGCAGAAAGAAUAAAUAUAUGAGAAAAAGGGGAAACAACCUUAAACAUAUAGGGGUUUAGGUUGUGGGUUUGUUUUUGUUUUCCCCCACUUUAAUAAAGCUGAAGAAAAUUUGCAAUGAAUUUAUGGGCUGAUUUAAAUCCUACUAAGGCUCAUGGAAAUCCCUUUAGUGAAUUCUGGGCCAGGUCCAGGAAAAGCAGGUUAUUAUUCCCUUUACUUUUAUUCAUCCAUAACUGUGCCCUUCUGCAUUCAAUCUUGUUGUUUAUAUCUUGCCAGUAGAUUUAAUGUGAACCUCAUCAGCUGUGGACCUGAAUAAGACACUGGGAUAAGCUGUCUCUUAACUCUGAGCCAGUCUUCCCAGAACAGUGGUGGUAAAGGAGGAUGCCCCUGACACACCAGAAGAGAAGCUGUGCUUGGCUGCAGAGUGAGUCAGCCCUUCUCAAGAUAAAUGUGCAAGAUAGGUGAGAUGAAUCACACACUGGAGGUGCCUAUUUGUCUCCAUUGACUAUGCAAGAAGCCUGUCCAACUAAAUAGGUUUAGACACCUAACUUUUAGGCACCUAAAAUCAGGUGAGAGGAAUCCCAUCCUCAUUGUUCUUCAUUCUUCAUUAGCACCCUGACAAAGGAGGCAGUGGAAGAGGCUUCCUGGAAAUGCCCUCCCAGAUUUGGACCUGGCCAAACCCCUCCAUCCUCUGUGCAUGGGAAUCUGCAAAGCCUCGCCUCUGUUCCUCCCCACGCAACUCCUACGGGCAUGGGGCGCUCCAGCCAUGCCCAGCUGGCAGAGAUGAAAGCGUGCUCCCUGCUGUGGUCUGAAUGAGACAACGGUCUUGUGGGAAAAGAUAUAAUAGUGGAACUGAAGUUGAACUGAAGUCUGUAUCAUAAUGUAUUCAGAGCAGGCGAGAGGGCA
This is a long non-coding RNA of Pezoporus occidentalis (night parrot), 927 nucleotides long. RefSeq lists it as uncharacterized. Lineage: Eukaryota; Metazoa; Chordata; Aves; Psittaciformes; Psittacidae. The record is from RefSeq and is a predicted model, not a curated record. The transcript is spliced from 2 exons.